AGUGGCGAUAGAGAGAAGGUUCCACCUGUUCCCAUCCCGAACACAGAAGUUAAGCUUCUCAUCGUCGAAAAUACUUGGCUGGCGACGGCCCGGGAAAAUAGAACACUGC
This 109-nucleotide ribosomal RNA is filed under the name chicken gut metagenome. The record is from RNAcentral.